GAUGAACGCUGGCGGCGUGCCUAAUACAUGCAAGUCGAGCGAACAGACGAGGAGCUUGCUCCUCUGACGUUAGCGGCGGACGGGUGAGUAACACGUGGAUAACCUACCUAUAAGACUGGGAUAACUUCGGGAAACCGGAGCUAAUACCGGAUAAUAUAUUGAACCGCAUGGUUCAAUAGUGAAAGACGGUUUUGCUGUCACUUAUAGAUGGAUCCGCGCCGCAUUAGCUAGUUGGUAAGGUAACGGCUUACCAAGGCAACGAUGCGUAGCCGACCUGAGAGGGUGAUCGGCCACACUGGAACUGAGACACGGUCCAGACUCCUACGGGAGGCAGCAGUAGGGAAUCUUCCGCAAUGGGCGAAAGCCUGACGGAGCAACGCCGCGUGAGUGAUGAAGGCCUUCGGAUCGUAAAACUCUGUUAUUAGGGAAGAACAAAUGUGUAAGUAACUAUGCACGUCUUGACGGAACCUAAUCAGAAAGCCACGGCUAACUACGUG
This 497-nucleotide ribosomal RNA is filed under the name uncultured bacterium. Its description in RNAcentral is "partial 16S ribosomal RNA". It matches the Rfam family "Bacterial small subunit ribosomal RNA", at positions 28 to 507 of the family's 1533-position model. The record is from RNAcentral.